ACCAAGGCUGCGAUGGGUAGCCGGCCUGAGAGGGUGAUCGGCCACAUUGGGACUGAGAUACGGCCCAGACUCCUACGGGAGGCAGCAGUAGGGAAUUUUGCGCAAUGGACGAAAGUCUGACGCAGCAACGCCGCGUGAGCGAUGAAGGUCUUCGGAUCGUAAAGCUCUGUUGAGUGGGAAGAAACGUCUCGGGGUUAAUAUCUCCGAGGCCUGACGGUACCACUCGAGGAAGCUCCGGCCAACUACGUGCCAGCAGCCGCGGUAAUACGUAGGGAGCGAGCGUUGUUCGGAAUCACUGGGCGUAAAGGGAGUGCAGGCGGAAAGGUAAGUCAGAAGUGUAAUCUACGGGCUUAACCCGUAUCUCGCUUUUGAUACUGCUUUUCUGGAGUAGUGGAGAGGGAAACGGAAUUCCAGGUGUAGCGGUGGAAUGCGUAGAUAUCUGGAAGAACACCAGUAGCGAAGGCGGUUUCCUGGCCACAUACUGACGCUGAGGCUCGAAAGCGUGGGGAGCAAACAGGAUUAGAUACCCUGGUAGUCCACGCCGUAAACGAUGGGCACUAGAUAUCGGGGAAUUCGAUUUCUUCGGUGUCGCAGUUAACGCGAUAAGUGCCCCGCCUGGGGAGUACGCCCGCAAGGGUGAAACUCAAAGGAAUUGACGGGGGCCCGCACAAGCGGUGGAGCAUGCGCUUUAAUUCGAUGCAACGCGAAGAACCUUACCUGGGUUUGACAUGGGAGUGAAAGUUCCUAGAGAUAGGAACCUUUCCUUCGGGAACACUCCACACAGGUGCUGCAUGGUUGUCGUCAGCUCGUGUCGUGAGAUGUUGGGUUAAGUCCCGCAACGAGCGCAACCCUCGCCCUUAGUUGCCAUCAGGUAAUGCUGGGAACUCUAGGGGGACCGCCUGGAACAACCAGGAGCGAAGGUGGGGAUGAUGUCAAAUCAUCAUGGCUCUUACGUCCAGGGCUAGACGCGUGCUACAAUGGUCGGUACAGAAGGAUGCCAAGUCGUGAGACCGAGCUAAUCCAUGAAANCCGGCCUCAGUUCGGAUUGGAGUCUGCAAUUCGACUCCAUGAAGGUGGAAUCGCUAGUAAUCGCGGAUCAGCAUGCCGCGCUGAAAUGUUCCCGGGCGUUGACACACCGCCCGUCAAGCCGCGAAAGAUGGGAGUACCCGAAGUCGC
RNAcentral lists this ribosomal RNA (1176 nucleotides) under uncultured organism. Its description in RNAcentral is "bacterial SSU rRNA". It matches the Rfam family "Bacterial small subunit ribosomal RNA", at positions 267 to 1430 of the family's 1533-position model. The record is from RNAcentral.